GCCCCCCGGCCAGGCUGUGGGUUCAGUAACGCUUUCAGCUUUGAGCCAGUUAUUAAACCCCCUUUUGAUUGGUUAAAACGUCUUGCGGUCUGGCAACUGCAAAGGUCAAACAAGAAAUCAAAAG
RNAcentral lists this small RNA (124 nucleotides) under Edwardsiella ictaluri. Its description in RNAcentral is "Hfq binding sRNA". It matches the Rfam family "STnc490 Hfq binding RNA". Lineage: Bacteria; Pseudomonadati; Pseudomonadota; Gammaproteobacteria; Enterobacterales; Hafniaceae. The record is from RNAcentral.